This 497-nucleotide ribosomal RNA is filed under the name uncultured bacterium. RNAcentral's name for it is "partial 16S ribosomal RNA". It matches the Rfam family "Bacterial small subunit ribosomal RNA", at positions 28 to 507 of the family's 1533-position model. The record is from RNAcentral.
GAUGAACGCUGGCGGCGUGCCUAAUACAUGCCAGUCGAGCGAACAGACGAGGAGCUUGCUCCUCUGACGUUAGCGGCGGACGGGUGAGUAGCACGUGGAUAACCUACCUAUAAGACUGGGAUAACUUCGGGAAACCGGAGCUAAUACCGGAUAAUAUAUUGAACCGCAUGGUUCAAUAGUGAAAGACGGUUUUGCUGUCACUUAUAGAUGGAUCCGCGCCGCAUUAGCUAGUUGGUAAGGUAACGGCUUACCAAGGCAACGAUGCGUAGCCGACCGGAGAGGGUGAUCGGACACACGGGAAGUGAGACACGGUCCAGACUCCUACGGGAGGCAGCAGUAGGGAAGCUUCCGCAAUGGGCGAAAGCAUGACGGAGCAACGCCGCGUGAGUGAUGAAGGUCUUCGGAUCGUAAAACUCUGUUAUUAGGGAAGAACAAAUGUGUAAGUAACUAUGCACGUCUUGACGGUACCUAAUCAGAAAGCCACGGCUAACUACGUG